ACAAAUACAUUUAAUUUUGCUUCUGUUCUAUCAGAAAACCGGAAGGAGUUAACCCAAGUGCUGUCAUCAUCAUAAAUACAGCUUGAAGAGGGAGGGAGCUAAGUCACUAAUCCGUUCUGAAUUCAGCCUGGCAGUGAAGAAAAAAAAGAGCAUGUGACCAAGAAGAAAACCACCGUGUAUAUCAAAACACACACGGAGGAAAUUAGGUUGAGAAUGAGAGAUGCUGAACAUAAAGAGAAUAAAGCAAGAGAAUAGAACUGGAGAUAAUAAAAAUAAACAGCAACAGCCAGAUUCAGAUGCUCUUUUCCUCAUUGGAGAUGACUUAACUGACACAGGCUGCCUCACUGGAAAGGAGCUUGAAGAGGACUGUGUAAAUCAUGAAACAAAGGGCGCACAGUUAACGCACGCCAGAGAUGACCAGUUGUGGAGCUACUUCAUGCUACAAAUCCCACCUGGUGGUGUGGCUGAGAAAGGAGAAAAAGAAAUCAGAACACUGCAGAAGCUCAUGUGGCUGUGCUCUGGAAAUGUAACUGGUGGAACAGAGUGUGGGCUGGCACACCAAUUUACCAGUUUAAUCUACACAUGCAGAAUAAGUACAAGAAGGCAUGUACCUUGGUGGAUUAUGCAUGUGUUUGAUGCACACCCAAAUCACAGAAUCACAGAAUAUCCUGAGUUGGAACGGACCCAUAAGGAUCAUCAAGUCCGACUCCUGGCACCGCACAGGUCUACCCAAAUGUUUAGACCAUGUGUGUAA
Molecule: long non-coding RNA, 754 nt
Filed under: Anas platyrhynchos platyrhynchos (common mallard)
Lineage: Eukaryota; Metazoa; Chordata; Aves; Anseriformes; Anatidae
Description: lncRNA (ENSAPLG00000023405.1)
Source: RNAcentral